UCCUAUAAAGUAAAUUUUACAUUUUAAUUUCGACUUAAAAAUUGAUUUUUAUACAAUCUGUAGGAU
Molecule: transfer RNA, 66 nt
Filed under: Tetraponera aethiops
Lineage: Eukaryota; Metazoa; Arthropoda; Insecta; Hymenoptera; Formicidae
Description: tRNA-Arg
Source: RNAcentral